ACAAAUAAACAAAAAUAUAAAAAAAAACAAAAAUUUAGUUUGAUGUCUGCUAAUUUUGUAUAGUUGCUAAUCCACCAAAUUAUCCUGUAAAGCCUCUUGGUAAAUGCACCAAGCUUGGUUAAACUUGUCAAAACAUUUAUUUUUAAUUGAUAUCUUCUUCUCCAAAAUAUAAUGAUGCUUUAUUUUUUCAAUCAAUGCUGUUAAACUUAAUUCUCUUUUAAAAUAUCGUGUAUUAUAUAUAUAUAUUGUUUAAUCCAGAGAAAAAUAUUGUUUUGAGGGUCACCUUUGUACAUUCGUGAUAAAUUUCCAAACAAAAAAAUAUCCUGUGUAAAUGGUAUACUAAUACCAUUCUGGAGAAACCACAUUUCAGUUUGCUCAAUAAAUUGUUGUACAUAAUAACAGUCCCACAGUAUAUGUUCAAUUGAUUCAAGUUCAGUCUUACAAAAAGUACAAUAUGGGUUUUGCACUAUCCCAAUUUUGUUUAAAAACGUAUUUGUUGCCAGAAUUUUAUGAUUAAUUCUAUACUGAAGCCAUUGUAGCUUAGUAUUUUUUGUAAUAGCAAAUGGUAGUUGAAAAAUCUUUUUCCAGUUUUGAUUUUC
Molecule: long non-coding RNA, 599 nt
Filed under: Mytilus galloprovincialis (Mediterranean mussel)
Lineage: Eukaryota; Metazoa; Mollusca; Bivalvia; Mytilida; Mytilidae
Source: RNAcentral